Molecule: ribosomal RNA, 642 nt
Filed under: Triticum aestivum (bread wheat)
Lineage: Eukaryota; Viridiplantae; Streptophyta; Magnoliopsida; Poales; Poaceae
Description: partial small subunit ribosomal RNA
Source: RNAcentral
AUGCUUGCUUCUAUGCCUUUGCCAUGCAAUUGUGACCCUUGCUUGCAUCUACCCAUGAUUCACCAUUAUGCUACUUCUAUGUGUAUUUGCAUGCUUGGUGGAGAUCCUUGUUGCUAUUGCCAUGUUUAUCAUGUGCCUCAUGCUAUUGAUGCUAUUUUUCUCAUAUCUUGCCUUCAUGCUUGUGAUGUGUCUUGUGCAUUAUUCAUGACUACCAUUUGCACACAUGACAUACUUAACAUGAUUCCUUCUAGUACGUUGCAUAUUCGCACUACUAGCUUGCUUGCCUUGAUUCAUAUGAUUGCUUGCUUUGUCGCAUCACCCAUGUUACAUUAUUACUUGCUUUCUUGGGUUGAUGACGUAUAUGUUCAUGCCUCUCACAUGAUACAUCUUGUGAUGCAUGCAUGCUUGCUUGCGCCUAUUCUAUUUGGUUGUUCUCACAUCAUAUGCCUCCGUACUAUGAAAUGCUCCCUUGUCCUUUCUUAUGAUGAGCAUGAUGCAUCCACUUGUUGGGUAUUUUACCGCACGAAUGAUAGGUUUUCCGCUAACCACAUUUGUUUUUCCGAGUGUUUGUCAUGUUCUUUCAUGUUGAAGGAUUCACAAGGCGAUGCCGUCAUGAGACAAUUUGGUCAUGUGAAGGCAUAA